GUGCAUGGCGGCGUGCUAUACAUGCAGUCGAGCGGACCGACGGGAGCUUGCUCCCUUAGGUCAGCGGCGGACGGGUGAGUAACACGUGGGUAACCUGCCUGUAAGACUGGGAUAACUCCGGGAAACCGGGGCUAAUACCGGAUGCUUGAUUGAACCGCAUGGUUCAAUUAUAAAAGGUGGCUUUUAGCUACCACUUACAGAUGGACCCGCGGCGCAUUAGCUAGUUGGUGAGGUAACGGCUCACCAAGGCAACGAUGCGUAGCCAACCUGAGAGGGUGAUCGGCCACACUGGGACUGAAACACGGCCCAAACUCCUACGGGAGGCAGCAGUAGGGAAUCUUCCGCAAUGGACGAAAGUCUGACGGAGCAACGCCGCGUGAGUGAUGAAGGUUUUCGGAUCGUAAAACUCUGUUGUUAGGGAAAAACAAGUACCGUUCGAAUAGGGCGGUACCUUGACGGUACCUAACCAAAAAGCCACGGCUAACUACGUGCCAGCAGCCGCGGUAAUACGUAGGUGGCAAGCGUUGUCCGGAAUUAUUGGGCGUAAAGCGCGCGCAGGCGGUUUCUUAAGUCUGAUGUGAAAGCCCCCGGCUCAACCGGGGAGGGUCAUUGGAAACUGGGGAACUUGAGUGCAGAAAAGGAGAGUGGAAUUCCACGUGUAGCGGUGAAAUGCGUAGAGAUGUGGAGGAACACCAGUGGCGAAGGCGACUCUCUGGUCUGUAACUGACGCUGAGGCGCGAAAGCGUGGGGAGCGAACAGGAUUAGAUACCCUGGUAGUCCACGCCGUAAACGAUGAGUGCUAAGUGUUAGAGGGUUUCCGCCCUUUAGUGCUGCAGCAAACGCAUUAAGCACUCCGCCUGGGGGAGUACGGUCGCAAGACUGAAACUCAAGGGAUUGACGGGGGCCCGCACAGCGGUGAGCAUGUGGUUUAUUCGAGGCACGCGAGACUUACAGGUCUGACAUCUCUGACACCUAGAGAAAGGGCUCCCUCGGGGCGAGUGACAGUGUGCAUGUGUCGUCAGCUCGUGUCG
This 1031-nucleotide ribosomal RNA is filed under the name Bacillus sp. (in: firmicutes). RNAcentral describes it as "bacterial SSU rRNA". It matches the Rfam family "Bacterial small subunit ribosomal RNA", at positions 33 to 1067 of the family's 1533-position model. The record is from RNAcentral. Lineage: Bacteria; Bacillati; Bacillota; Bacilli; Caryophanales; Bacillaceae.